RNAcentral lists this ribosomal RNA (497 nucleotides) under uncultured bacterium. RNAcentral describes it as "partial 16S ribosomal RNA". It matches the Rfam family "Bacterial small subunit ribosomal RNA", at positions 28 to 507 of the family's 1533-position model. The record is from RNAcentral.
GAUGAACGCUGGCGGCGUGCCUAAUACAUGCAAGUCGAGCGAACAGACGAGGAGCUUGCUCCUCUGACGUUAGCGGCGGACGGGUGAGUAACACGUGGAUAACCUACCUAUAAGACUGGGAUAACUUCGGGAAACCGGAGCUAAUACCGGAUAAUAUAUAGAACCGCAUGGUUCAAUAGUGAAAGACGGUUUUGCUGUCACUUAUAGAUGGAUCCGCGCCGCAUUAGCUAGUUGGUAAGGUAACGGCUUACCAAGGCAACGAUGCGUAGCCGACCUGAGAGGGUGAUCGGCCACACUGGAACUGAGACACGGUCCAGACUCCUACGGGAGGCAGCAGUAGGGAAUCUUCCGCAAUGGGCGAAAGCCUGACGGAGCAACGCCGCGUGAGUGAUGAAGGUCUUCGGAUCGUAAAACUCUGUUAGUAGGGAAGAACAAAUGUGUAAGUAACUAUGCACGUCUUGACGGUACCUAAUCAGAAAGCCACGGCUAACUACGUG